Gallus gallus (chicken) is the source of this 1859-nucleotide long non-coding RNA. RefSeq lists it as uncharacterized. Lineage: Eukaryota; Metazoa; Chordata; Aves; Galliformes; Phasianidae. The transcript is spliced from 4 exons. The record is from RefSeq and is a predicted model, not a curated record.
UUCCGAGUUGUUGGUAGUUAAGAGGUGAAACGUUCUCAGCCGAAGUUCCCGAGUUGAAUUUUCUCUGGCGCUCAUCAUAGAAUGAUAGAAUGGCUUAGGUAGGGAGGAACCUUAAAGAUCAUCCAGUUCCAACCCCCCAGCCGCAGACAGGGCUGCCACCCACCCACUAGGUCAGGCUGCCGCUGUACACCUCGUUGGUGUAUAGCAGAGGGUCUUAAAUCACACAUACAUAUGAAGAAAAUUUGCUCCAUCCAAUUGCACUUUACUUUGUCAGAGCUCUGCAAAGUGGGGCUGGCAGCUGGAGCUGCCUAGUCAUGUCCAGGAUAGUUCAGCUACAGCUGUUUAAAAUAUACAGCAGAUCCAAGAGCAAGUAAGCAAAGGGCUGUACGGUAACCCCUCAUGUAAAGAGAAAUAAAUGGAAACCAACACAAAACACGGGCUAAGAUGACCUCCUUUACCUCAGAGACUAUCGAGCAACCAGUUCUCAGCAGCUCAGACCAGUAGCCACAUCCUUUCAUACCAAGUCCAGGUCGCUGAUGUUGCUCUGGCACUUAAAUAAGUCGCUCCCUGCAGGACUGCCCAUGGCUGACAUAAGCCCUGUCAGACACCUUUGGGAGCAGUUGGCGUCUGUAGGCAGUGACGGAGUGCUUUAAAUAUUUACCAUUUUUCCAGCAGAAACCAUCACAGAUUCAGUGGGAUCAAAUGAACUGAGCUUUUGGGUCACCUACAUUUUUCAGAACAGCGUCUUCAUUAUAUAGUAUAAACUGAAUAUAGGUUGUUCCAACUUUUUUUUUUUUCCACAGUUUCUGGAAGUUUUCUAGUUCACGAUAGAAAAUCAUAUAAUCACAGAUUCACAGAAUAGCCCAAGCUGCAAUUCCAAGACCCACAAGGAUCAUCGAGCUCAACUCCUGGCUCCACACAGAACCACCCUAAAUUCAAACCACUUAAAUUCAAACUCCUUGAGCUCUGGCAGCUUGGGGCCAUGCCCACUGCCCUGGGCUGCCUGCUCCAUGCCCACUGCCCUCUGAUGCACUGACAUUUUGUACGUCUGAAUAUUAAAUAGGACCUUUCAACAAGGGAAUCCUGAUUUUAAAAGAUUCAAAACCUGCAGUUAGCCUGUGCUCUGAGGCGUUACCACUGAGAUAUGUCAUCUUGAUCAAUGAAAAUGACACCAAAUGACCAGAUCUUGUUGUUGGGCUAACCUAUUGUGUUUGCUGUCAUUUAUUUCAAUUUAUACUAUUUUGAUUCUGACAAAAGUGACCAGCAGAGGGCCACCUUCUUUUAAAAUACUCUAAUGGAAGAGAAUGAGGUGCAUUAAUGAAGCAUUAACCGAGAGAAAGUUUGAAAACUUCGAGAAGUCUUUUGUGCGUGAAGAGUUCCUCCACUGCUGGGCAGGUCUGGCAUGCAGGCUUCGGUAGGACUGAACUGUGUAUCAGAGCUGCAUCCUGUCUGAGGCAUUGUCUGUAACAGGCAAAUACGGAAAAAAAAAGCCAGUUCUAAAGGAGAGUGCACUGCAUCAUUUCCAAACUCCGUGAGCAAGACAGUAAAAGCAGGCUCAAGAGUGUUUCCUCGGAUCACAGGGGAUCAGCUGUCCUGCCUAGGCGUAAACAGCAACUACCUGGAGGAAAGGCUACCAGAAUUUGACAUUACACCAUUAAAUGGCUGGCCAAACCCACUUCUCUUUGAUGCUGUUGGAAUCAAUGGACCUGAAGCAUCUGUGUAGAAUUCAAAUUUCAGCAUGUGUGCUUUGCUGAAGAAGAAAAGUCAUGUAACGUCUGUAAGGUUUCACAAAUAAAUAAAUGUGCAUAAAAUAUAUGAGUUGAGACAUUAUGGGCAAAUCUUCUCUAAGCAGAAUUUCC